GAACACAACACAUCGCAGAAGUGUAGUCGAUCAGGACGUAAGCUGAAAAAACGAAGAAGUGUACCAGAACGUCAAUCAAAAGACCGUUUUCUAGUUUGCCCCAACUGUAAACCGGUCGAAGAUGGCGUUUUUCACGAUCCAAUUCAAUGGACAGGCAGAGUUCAUCGUACUUUCAAAAAGAAACAUGAAGAAUGGAAAUACCGUUCCAUAUGUACAUUCGAUCGACCGGUUCCAGAAGCAAAUCCAAAUCCACAACCAAGACAAAAGAAAAAGAGAUACAAGAAGCAGCUGGAACCGAAAACAACAGUUAUAUUCAAUCGCGACAUAAAUGCAGCGAGAAAUAUGAUUAAGAAGGGAUUGUAUAUGUUGAAUCAUCUGCCGAUGCCAAAUUGUUUCCGACCAUUCAGGCAUCAACUCCAUUAUUAUUUCAACAAUUAAAAUCAAAAAUUAAAAUUAUAAGCACGGACGUCUACGCGAACAUUCUCACAAUGGGAAUCUCAUUGUUUCAAACAAUGAUACCAAGACGUAGUAGUGGACGAUGCUAACAAGUACUAGAAAUAGUAACCCAAGGAAGCAAAAAUAAUUAUUUUUCAGUUAUUUCCAUUAUUGAAGGGAGUGAUUUACCCUAGGUAAUAUAUGUUAGUUCCAAGGAGUAUCCUUGUUAUGUGGCUGUGAAUAGUGGGGAUGGAACAAAACAAUAUUUCUAUCAUUCUGCUACCAAUGUGGCACAGUACGAGUUUACGGAACGUGCAAAAAACAUGGACGUUAAAGUUAGAAUUUAUUGUAAAAUUCUGAAUGAAGCUAAUAACAAUUUAUUGGGCAUUGAAUAUGCCGAAACCAAGGCAAAAUUUUGGUUUAUAGAUCACGCUUUUUAUGGAAAACUCAGUGAUGAUGCAACUAGUUAAAAAAUAAUAAUUUAUUUAUUGAAAUUGAAGUAAAUUAAAUUAUCGCAAUUUAUUAGUUGUAAUAAUACAUUUUUGCUAAUAUUAAAUUGAGUAAAUUGAUUGAAAGAUCGACUAAAUAAAAAGAAGUUUAUCUAUUCAAAGAAAAUGUCUAACUACACAACAUACUAACCUCAUUAAUAGUCAUAAAAGAAUUUGCCAAGAAUCAAAACAUAUUUAUACAUAUUUUGUUUAAUGUUUUUCUCUUAAACCAAUUUAUUUUGUUUCGAAUUCUAUUGAAAUAUUCAGAUAAAUCGUUCCAAAUUUAGGUCUUAACAAAUUUCUUCAACUUUCUAGAGUUUAAAUGACAAAUAUAAUACUUGUAUGGAUUCUUAGGCGCUGGGCAUACAUUUCAAUCGCUCGAAUGCCGCUUUUUCCAAACUCUCACGAUGGUCUGGAUGCGCAAUAUUGAUGAGAGCAUGUGCUCUUUGCCGUAACGUUUUGCCGAACAAAUAUGCGAUACCAAAUUCGGUAACAACAUAAUGAACAUGAGCCCGAGAUGUCACAAUACCGCCACCCAAUUUAACCGUUGGAACAAUUUUUGAUUCGUUACGUUUUGUAACUGAAGGCAAUGCUAUGAGGUGAAAAAAAAAAAAAAAAGAAAAUAUGAUAUGUUAUUGGUUAAUUAUUAUCAAUAUUAAUAAAAUGUUUUCCUAACCAAUAAUUGGUUUUCCCUUUCCAUCGAAACCCUCGGCAGCACCACGAAUGAAAUCAACCUGACCACCGAAUCCUGAAUACAUCCGUGUUCCGAUUGAGUCAGAGCAUACUUGACCAGUGAGAUCAACUUCAAUAGCCGAAUUGAUGGCAGUCAUUUUUGGAUUUUGUGCAAUUACUCCAACAUUGUUUACGUAGGCAAUAUCCAACAUUUCUGGAAAUGGCGGUGAAUAAGGAUAAAUGCUUUCAAAUACUUUGAUAUAAACCUACCAAUAAAUGGAUUGUUAUCAACAAAAUCAUAUAAUUUCUUCGUUCCGAUUAAAAAUGAGCCAACGAUACGGCCUUUAUGAAUGACUUUCUUUGCAUUUGUAACGCAUCCAUUUUUCACCAAGUCAACAACGCCAUCGGCAAACAUCUCUGAAUGUAUACCAAGGUCUUGAUGAUUAUGCAAAGCAGUUAAAACCGCAUCGGGAAUAUUUCCAAUUCCUGAGAAAAAGAGAAGUUAAUGAAUAACAUUUGAAAACGAUCAAGUAUUUAAAAAAAAAAAUCAUGAAUCAUUGUUUGUCGCAAAUCGAUUCGAAAGAUAACGAAAGCGGUCACCCAACCAAAAUGUGUAAUGCGACCACAUCCCUGCCGUUUAAGUUUUUCAUAUCCGGCUGAAUGAAUCGUUUUCUGCUAUCCAUUUUAAACCAAAAUCAUACCCAUUUGUAAAGUUGCACCAUCAUCGACCAGAUUCUCUGCAAUCAACUUAAUAAAAUAAAAAGAAGUUUAUUUAUUUAAAGAAAAUGUAUAACUACACAACAUACUAACCUGGCCGAUUUUGGUUUCCUGUUCAGUUUGCCCUUUUCCACCAUGCGAUGGUAGCGGCACAUCAAUAUGAGCGGCAAAAUCGAAAUGUGACUGAUGAAUAAUUGAAUCUCCGAAUGUACGUGGCAUUUGUUUGUUGAUUUGAGCUAUAAAAAAAUUGUGAGUUGUUUUAUUUGUUCAUUCUCCUCAUUAAAGUUGUCAAUCACAAAACUAAAAUAGCCAUCGAUGAUAAUCAACAUACCGACAAUCAAUUUGGAAUGUUGUAGAGCAGCUCGGACACAGUCAACGCUCGUUCCCAACGAACAGUAGCCAUGUUGAUCAGGUGGACUCACGGAAAUCAACGCAACGUCUGGUCGAUAAAUUUUUUGAUGGAAGAGUUUUGGAAUUUCAUGCAGAAAGAUUGGCACAGCGUCGGCACGUCCCUCUGAAACCGCUUUACGAACAUUUCCACCCAUGAAAAAUGAUACCGAACGGAACGUUUUCUCCAGCGAUGGGUCGGUGUAUUCGGCCAAACCUUCGGUGUGCAUCGAACAAAUCUGUACAUCACUCAAGUUAGCGGCUUUGCCAUGUUCAGCCAGCGCAUAAACCAAUUUUGUCGGAGUUGCGGCAGCUCCUUGAACAAAUACCGUAUCACCUAAAAAUAAAUGUUUGUUUACAAUUAUUUGAUUCACAAAUUCAUAAGCACUGAUUCAAUCAAAAUCUAAAAAAAGUGAUCUAUAUACGUUGUUUUACAUUUGCCGCGAUCAUGAUUCUCACUCAAAUUGCAUCGAACGUGAGAUACUUUGAGCGUAAACAUAAAUAUUGUAUUUUGCUUAUAAUCAGCGAUAAAUUGAGCAUGACGUUCGAUAAGUCAACUUUUUGUCUCAGUUUCAGCAUUUUGAUAAGUUUUUGUCGUCGUAAUUGCAUCAGUCGAACCCCGUGAAUCUGAUGUGAUUAAUGAAUUUUUAUAUUCAAGGUCCUUCCGCGUCAUAAUGUUUUUUUAUAAAGAAAAUGUAUUUCGAACUUAGACUAUAUUUAAAAAACGGUCACCCAAAGAAAUGUGCGCAAACAUUUUCACAAAUUAUUUUCAAUAAAAUUCUCAAUUAUAAUCAUAAGAAGAAUAUUUUAACAAUUUUGUUAGUUACUAGGCGUGAAUAGUUUAAAUCCAAGGAUUUCUAUUGUACCCUUGACCGCAGUACGGGUCCUCAUUUAGGGCUGUGCGGAAUAUAAAAGAACCCGUAGCGCUCGAUGUUUUCAGUUUAUUUCGGUUAGGAAUUGAUAUUAUUCAAUUAACUUUAAUACAGUGAAGCUAUCCGGCUAUAAUACAUAGAUUUGCAUAUCUCUACUCGCUUUGCCACUGGCUGUGUGUGUGUGCAUAUAGUAAACAGUGAGCCACAAGUGAAUCCAUACAUAAUAACAAGUUUUGAACAAUGCAAAGAUGUGAUAAAAAAUGUUUGACACAUUCAAACGUGGUAAAUGAACACAAUUUCAGAAACAUAGAAGAAUGACAGAGAAAGGAAAAACUACCGUCCGCGUAACUUAAAAAAACUGGAAUGAUCUGUUCUGAUGAAGUCAUUGUUUGAUUUCGCAUUGCAUAUUAUUUUAACACUGCUAAAUAAAUCGUAACAUGUUUUAUAUAAUAUUUUUUUUAUCUAAUCAACUGUUUCUAUGAUGAUUUUAAAAAUGUCACAACUUUGAAAAUUGGUUGAUCAUAGAAAGCGAAAAAAGCGCCAAGAAAAGUUCGCUUCAUUAGCAUAAGAAAGAGCAACAACAUUCAAUGGACAUACUUUACUAAUUGUGACGACUCGGUAAAUAUGCGGAAAACAAAACGUCAGAGCCGUCAGAGUAGUAUUCGUGAUUGUCUCCCUGGCAUUGCACAAGGCGAAUCGUAACACUUGUUCUGACUGUGAUUCACAAUUUAUUGACGAUAAUUAAGCACGAAAUGUAUAAAAAAUUAUACGACAACGGCUCAAACUACAAAAUAUAUGAUGAAACAAGUGCAAAUAUUUGCUUUCAACGAAUAUAACUUCUUGAAUUUCUUUAAAUAAAUCAACGAUCGGGUUGCAUCGUUUAAACAUACGUUCUGGUACUCUAUUUUGCAAAUUCACGGAACAAAGUUUAUGAAUAAAAACUUGGACCAAUGUUCAAUUUG
Long non-coding RNA from Contarinia nasturtii (swede midge), 4533 nucleotides. RefSeq lists it as uncharacterized. Lineage: Eukaryota; Metazoa; Arthropoda; Insecta; Diptera; Cecidomyiidae. The record is from RefSeq and is a predicted model, not a curated record. The transcript has 4 exons.